CCGGAGUUUACAACUCCCCAACCACCCUGUGAACAUAACCUUUAUGUUGCCUCGGCGGAUCAGCCCGCGCCCCGUAAAACGGGACGGCCCGCCGCAGGAAACCCUAAACUCUGUUUUUAGUGGAACUUCUGAGUAUAAAAAACAAAUAAAUC
RNAcentral lists this unclassified non-coding RNA (152 nucleotides) under soil metagenome. RNAcentral's name for it is "partial internal transcribed spacer 1". The record is from RNAcentral.